GGGAUGUGGCACGUGAUCGUUUUGGCGCAAAUUUUCACCGUGCACACGCGCUUCUAGCCAUGAGUCACACGUGUUACUUUUCGAAUUCUAUCUUUUAAAAAUUUACACAAUUCUAUUUACGUAGUGAAGAAAAUGUCGGAAUUAUUUAAUUACGUUGGCGAGAUACGUUUCGAAUGUCCGAAACAUAUGCAAGGAUAUUUACUUUCGGAGAAUUUGUACGCUCUUUUCGUCAAUUAUAUUAGAUCUUGCAGAUUCAGAGCUCCGAAGGCUAAACAAUUGACAGAACUUAUCAUGACAUUUCAAGAUGGUGCUAAACGCGAUAGAAGAGCCCUUCAGAGUAAAUUUAAGAGUUGGUCACGCAGAAUGGAUGUCAGAGAAACAGAUGGAAAGCUCGUUAUUCGGCAAAGCGGCAAAGAAAUUUUACCUAUAGAAAAAUGUUAUUCUUUAGUUAUGGAAUUACAUUGUCAAACGGAAGAACAUAGAGACAUUGAUUGUAUCGUACAUGAGAUACGAAAAACUUAUUCUUGGGGUCGAAGAGAUUUUGGUAUGGAUUGGGAUGUGGUCUCAGCUAUACUUAAAACCUGUAAUAAAAUAGAAUGCCAACAAAAACUUCAAAUGAGAUUACAGCCAAAAUGUGUAUCAUCUCCACCUUUAAAAAGAAUGAAGAUUUUAGAUAUUAUUCAAGAAUCUAAUAAUUUUGUCCAAAAUCAAAAUUUUCGUUCAAUUAUGCCAAUACUAAUUACAUCAGAUAACAAAAUUAAUAGUGAAGAUGCAUUUGUACAAGUUACAGGAGUUAAGGAAGAAACUGAAUCAAAACAAUUGUUAACAGCUGUCAGUUCUGCAGUUAUUUCUUCACAAUUAGAAAUAAAUAAAUCUUUAACAAAUAAUUUACAACAUGAAAAAAGAUACAGCUAUAAAUCUAACUCAAAAUCAAAUACAGUCAGUAAAAAAUUAAACAAAAAAAUAAGUUUUAAGAUAGAAAUUGAUUCUUCAGACUCUGAUCUUAAAUGUUCAGAUGAUUUUAAAAAUGAUUUGAAAAAUUUUAUAACUUCUUAUUUUAAAAACCAAACAAAAUCUAAUGAAAAUAAUAUUAAGUCAGAUGUUUUAAAUACAAAUAAACUACUAAUCCAAAAUUACCCAGUUUGGCAGAAUAUAUUAUUGUCGUCAAAUUCUAAAUCACCUUUCAGAAUUUUAACAAGUAAAGAACAAAAUAUUUCAAUAACACCUAUAAAUUCAUCAUCACACAGACAGCAAUCUUUAAAUUCAGGAUAUUUCAUUAAUUCUUCAAUUCAAAAUAUAAGCAAUAAUAAUACAGCCAGUAUCUUAACUUACACACUUCCUGACAUGCCACUCUCUUUUACUCCUAAAAUACAAUGUCUUAUAUCAUCAUCUAAUGCAGAAAUGAAUUCUGAUAGAAAUUCAAAUCAGAAGUCCCUAAAUCAAAAUCAUGACAAUGACGAUUACUCAUCUUGUCAGAUUACACCUGUUAAAAUUCAAAGUAAAACUGUAUCAGUGCCUACUGAGAUUGAUAUAAAUACAUUGAAUGAUGAUGUUCUAAACAAAAAAUCAUUUAAAUUUAAAUAUGUAUUAGAAAAACCUGAAAGAAAACUGGAAAAUAACUUAAAUAUAAAAUCAAGUAAAAACAAUAGCCAAAAACAUUUAAAAUCAAAAAUAAUUAGAUAUUGUAAAACGAAAUCUGUUCUGAAAAAUAAUGUGGAAUCUAAAAAACAAAUGGACAAUGAUAAAAAUGUUGAAGACUUAUAUGAAUCUCUCAUUGAAUCUAUUCAUUCCAUAAAAGGCAAAUCACUACAUAUUGGUACUAGUAGAGGAAAAGACAUAGAGUUUACAAAAGGAAUAGAUCGAUGUUUGAUUCAAAUCAAAGAAUUAAAAAAGAAACUUUAGCAAGCAUCAGAUUUGGCCUGCCAAAAAAUUGUAUCUGCAUCUGUAGAGGACAUUUUGACCAAUUCAGAUGGAUAUUGCAAAAUCUUAGUGGAUAAGGCUUUGUUUACAUGUAUUUCAGUAAAGCAACAUUUAUUUACUUCAGUCCAUUGACAAAAGCAUAGAAAAUUACAGAAUCACUUUAAAAAGUUGACAUCUCUAGUAUUAGUAUUUUGGUGGAGAAUUUGAAAAAGAUCUUUUCUAGCAAGCCAGAUCUCAAAAAUGAAGCAGAAUUUGAAAACUGUUUAUGGAGGAGUUUAAGCUUAUUUUCGAUCCUAGAAUCUAUCCCUAAAAUACUGGUAGAGUUAUAUUACACCAAUACAACAUAUUACAUAAAACUUGAUAACAGAACAAUUAGAAUAUCUAACUAACAAUAACUAUUUU
Centruroides sculpturatus (bark scorpion) is the source of this 2322-nucleotide RNA transcript. It is a transcript of the gene named serine/threonine-protein kinase pakD-like, with no coding region annotated. Lineage: Eukaryota; Metazoa; Arthropoda; Arachnida; Scorpiones; Buthidae. The transcript has 7 exons. The record is from RefSeq and is a predicted model, not a curated record.